GGACCUGUAGCUCAGAGGAAGAGCGGGCGGCUCAUAACUGCAAGGUCGGGAUUUCGAGACUCCCCGGGUCCACCA
RNAcentral lists this transfer RNA (75 nucleotides) under Acidithiobacillus ferrivorans. Its description in RNAcentral is "tRNA-Met". It matches the Rfam family "tRNA". Rfam says of the family: Transfer RNA (tRNA) molecules are approximately 80 nucleotides in length. Their secondary structure includes four short double-helical elements and three loops (D, anti-codon, and T loops). Lineage: Bacteria; Pseudomonadati; Pseudomonadota; Acidithiobacillia; Acidithiobacillales; Acidithiobacillaceae. The record is from RNAcentral.